CGCAAGCCUGACGGAGCAACGCCGCGUGUGGGAAGAAGGCUCUUGGGCUGUCAACCACUUUUCUCAGGGAAGAAGCCCUGACGGUACCUGAGGAAUCAGCCUCGGCUAACUCCGUGCCAGCAGCCGCGGUAAUACGGAGGAGGCAAGCGUUAUCCGGAAUUAUUGGGCGUAAAGCGUCCGCAAGGGGCACAUCAAGUCUGCUGUUAAAGGCUGGAGCUUAACUCCGGUAGAGCAGUGGAAACUGGUGUGCUAGAGGGCGACAGGGGUAGAGGGAAUUCCCAGUGUAGCGGUGAAAUGCGUAUAGAUUGGGAAGAACACCGGUGGCGAAAGCGCUCUACUGGGUCGCACCUGACCCUCAGGGACGAAAGCUAAGGUAGCG
This 379-nucleotide ribosomal RNA is filed under the name uncultured cyanobacterium. RNAcentral's name for it is "bacterial SSU rRNA". It matches the Rfam family "Bacterial small subunit ribosomal RNA", at positions 376 to 770 of the family's 1533-position model. The record is from RNAcentral. Lineage: Bacteria; Bacillati; Cyanobacteriota.